Rosa chinensis is the source of this 1291-nucleotide RNA transcript. It is a transcript of the gene named transcription factor bHLH80, with no coding region annotated. Lineage: Eukaryota; Viridiplantae; Streptophyta; Magnoliopsida; Rosales; Rosaceae. The transcript is spliced from 5 exons. The record is from RefSeq and is a predicted model, not a curated record.
CAGAGUAAUAAACCAUCUGAUUCAUCAAAAAUUUAUUGUCUGCCCCUCAAACCCAACACUGUUUACUACUGAAGUCUCUCUGUCUCUGCUUCUUGGGUUUGGUUUUUUUCUUCUAGCUCCUUCUCUCUUCUACACUUGAAGCGAAAAUCUUCGUGCAAAUCAACGAGGAAAACUCGCAGGUGGCCGGCGGGGACGAGGCAGAUGCAACCGGCACCUGGCGAAAGUGGAGGAGAAGUGACUCGCGGAGGUGGAGGACUCGGCCGGUUCUGCUCGGCCCCGGCGUCAUGGUUGGAAGCGCUGCUUGAGGACGAAGAAGAGGACCCCUUGAAGCCCACCCAGUGCCUCACCGACCUUCUUGCCGAUAACUGCGAGGGGCCCAGUUCGACGGCAGUGGGGUUCGGUUCGGAUACGACGGCGGAUCCAGCUGCGGCGUUUCUCAGACAGAACAGCUCUCCGGCCGACUUUGUCGGGAAUUCGAGUGAUGGGUCCGAAGGGUAUUUCUCCGGGUUCGGGAUUCCGACCAGCCUCGACUAUGUCGCGAACCCGAAUUUCAGUAAUGUUUCUUCUUCUUCGGCUAAUAAGCGGGUUAGGGAUGUGAAAAUGGAGGAAGGUGGAUUCGAGGAGUCAGGGACUCUGAGGGUUAGGGCAAAGCGAGGUUGUGCUACUCAUCCAAGGAGUAUUGCUGAAAGGGUCAGGAGGACUCGAAUUAGUGACCGGAUAAGGAAGCUUCAGGAGCUUGUACCCAACAUGGAUAAGGUUAGAGCUUCCAACUGGUGCACUUUCUGAACUGCAAUUUCUAUACAUAUCAAUACCAUAUAAUAGGACCAGUAAGCAAACUAAUACCGCAGAUAUGUUAGAUGAGGCAGUGGAGUAUGUGAAGUUUCUUCAGAAGCAGAUUCAGGAACUCUCAGAGCAUCAACGCAGGUGCAAAUGCAUCGCUAAAGAAUAACUAGAGGUACCUCAGAAUGCCACCUACUGUUUAGUGUAAUUAUUAGAUUUUUUUUAAAAUUUCAGCCAAGGUUUGUCAUGAUGGUGCUAUGUUGAUUAGAAUUACCCUGUAUUUUUGAGAUACUCUAUAUUCUAAGUUGCAUUCUUCUCCAAUAUAUAGAUGUAAGAAUGCCAUACCUAGAAUCAAUGAUUACGCACUUAGCCGCUUCCUUUUGAAAAAUUCUAUUAGUAUUUAUUUUGUUCCAUCAAAAAGGAACUGGAGUAUUGUUAUAGCUGUAAAAUUAUGCAACAGUUCUCAUAUUUUAACAUGCCUUCAAUCAAUUUUCCCAAUAUCUUAUUUCCA